UUCGAUGCAACGCGAAAAACCUUACCUACCCUUGACAUGUCUGGAAUCCUGAAGAGAUUUGGGAGUGCUCGAAAGAGAGCCAGAACACAGGUGCUGCAUGGCCGUCGUCAGCUCGUGUCGUGAGAUGUUGGGUUAAGUCCCGCAACGAGCGCAACCCUUGUCAUUAGUUGCUACGAAAGGGCACUCUAAUGAGACUGCCGGUGACAAACCGGAGGAAGGUGGGGAUGACGUCAGGUCAUCAUGGCCCUUAUGGGUAGGGCUACACACGUCAUACAAUGGCCGGGACAGAGGGCUGCCAACCCGCGAGGGGGAGCUAAUCCCAGAAACCCGGUCGUAGUCCGGAUCGUAGUCUGCAACUCGACUGCGUGAAGUCGGAAUCGCUAGUAAUCGCGGAUCAGCUUGCCGCGGUGAAUACGUUCCCGGGUCUUGUACACACCGCCCGU
Molecule: ribosomal RNA, 443 nt
Filed under: uncultured Roseateles sp.
Lineage: Bacteria; Pseudomonadati; Pseudomonadota; Betaproteobacteria; Burkholderiales; Sphaerotilaceae
Description: bacterial SSU rRNA
Rfam family: Bacterial small subunit ribosomal RNA
Source: RNAcentral